UACGUAGGGCGCAAGCGUUGUCCGGAAUUAUUGGGCGUAGAGAGCUCGUAGGCGGCCUGUUGCGUCCGCUGUGAAAUCCCGGGGCUCAACCCCGGGCGUGCAGUGGAUACGGGCUGGCUGGAGGCAGGCAGGGGAGAACGGAAUUCCUGGUGUAGCGGUGAAAUGCGCAGAUAUCAGGAGGAACACCGGUGGCGAAGGCGGUUCUCUGGGCCUGUACUGACGCUGAGGAGCGAAAGCGUGGGGAGCGAACAGG
This 253-nucleotide ribosomal RNA is filed under the name uncultured bacterium. RNAcentral's name for it is "partial 16S ribosomal RNA". It matches the Rfam family "Bacterial small subunit ribosomal RNA", at positions 524 to 776 of the family's 1533-position model. The record is from RNAcentral.